This 444-nucleotide ribosomal RNA is filed under the name uncultured bacterium. Its description in RNAcentral is "bacterial SSU rRNA". It matches the Rfam family "Bacterial small subunit ribosomal RNA", at positions 29 to 493 of the family's 1533-position model. The record is from RNAcentral.
AACGAACGCUGGCGGCGUGGAUAAGACAUGCAAGUCGAACGGGAGAAUUGCUAGCUUGCUAAUAAUUCUCUAGUGGCGCACGGGUGAGUAACACGUGAGUAACCUGCCCCCAAGAGUGGGAUAGCCCCGGGAAACUGGGAUUAAUACCGCAUAAAAUCGCAAGAUUAAAGCAGCAAUGCGCUUGGGGAUGGGCUCGCGUCCUAUUAGUUAGUUGGUGAGGUAACGGCUCACCAAGGCGAUGACGGGUAGCCGGUCUGAGAGGAUGUCCGGCCACACUGGAACUGAGACACGGUCCAGACACCUACGGGUGGCAGCAGUCGAGAAUCAUUCACAAUGGGGGAAACCCUGAUGGUGCGACGCCGCGUGGGGGAAUGAAGGUCUUCGGAUUGUAAACCCCUGUCAUGUGGGAGCAAAUUAAAAAGAUAGUACCACAAGAGGAAGAGA